This is a long non-coding RNA of Rosa chinensis, 572 nucleotides long. RefSeq lists it as uncharacterized. Lineage: Eukaryota; Viridiplantae; Streptophyta; Magnoliopsida; Rosales; Rosaceae. The transcript has 2 exons. The record is from RefSeq and is a predicted model, not a curated record.
GAAACAGAUGAUAAAGAUUAAUGAUGCCAUGGCUCUAUUGUUAACAUAAGUUAACAAAGGUCUAACUUGGGAUGCCUGUACACAAGGGGAUACGGAUAAAUGUGCUCUAUUGAUUAAGCCCCUGUUUAACUUUGAAUUUGCUUAUAUUGGUUAAAAGUUGACAAAUAAUUAUUUCUUCUUGAUGCAUGUACUUCCUCGUCCAGAGUCUCUUUCUUCAAGGUAAUAUCACACCUCUAUGGCCUAGAUACCAUAUUAUAUUAGUCUAGUUUGAAGCCUCUUAGUACUAUUAUCACCUAGUUAAGUUGCAUGACUCCACUCACAAAUCAUCUGAAUUUUGGAAGCUUGAAGAGCUUUAUCUAAAGGUAUUCUAUUCAUGCAUGAAGGCUUUUUAAUAGCAAAAUAAUAAUGCUAUCUCUCUUAAAGUGUAGUUGGAUGAUUCAAUUCUGAAAAAAAUUGCAGUUAUGCAAUGAUUUUUCAGUUCCAAAGGAGAGGCCGGAGAACUUCAAAGGGGUUGAUGUUAAAUAUGAAGAGAUAAUUGAAGUAACUUCAAUUGGCUCCAGCAAAGUCUUAUG